AGGGAGCCCCUCCCUCUAAAAGCACUCUGUGUGGGGAAGAUGAGAACCAGAGCAAAGCUCAGAGGAACCAAACUGGAUCUGUACCUGGACCUGGAUCUGGAUCCAGCUGUGUGUCAUUCAGGAGUGACGGAUCAAAGGGUUAUCCUCCUGACUUCAAAGCCAUCAGUCCAGGAGUGGAACAGUUCCAACAGAGAUCUGGAUAUGGAUCCAGCCGUGUGUCCUUCAGGAGUGACAUAUCAAAGGGUUAUCCUCCUGACUUCAAGUCCAUCAGUUUAGGAGUGGAACAAGUGGACCAGCAGAGCUCAGAGACUCCCAGUGGUCCGUCUGUCCAGCAGCAUCAAAC
This is a long non-coding RNA of Oryzias melastigma (Indian medaka), 343 nucleotides long. RefSeq lists it as uncharacterized. NCBI's taxonomy places the organism in Eukaryota, Metazoa, Chordata, Actinopteri, Beloniformes, Adrianichthyidae. The transcript has 4 exons. The record is from RefSeq and is a predicted model, not a curated record.